UUCGCCUUGUGCCAGCCGCCGCGUAAUUCCAGCUCCAAUAGCGUAUAUUAAAGUUGUUGCAGUUAAAAAGCUCGUAGUUGAAACUUGGGCCUGGCUGGCGGGUCCGCCUCACCGCGUGCACUCGUCCGGCCGGGCCUUCCUUCUGAAGAACCUCAUGCCCUUCACUGGGCGUGCUGGGGAAUCGGGACUUUUACUUUGAAAAAAUUAGAGUGUUCAAAGCAGGCCUUUGCUCGAAUACGUUAGCGUGGAAUAAUAAAAUAGGGCGUGCGUUUCUAUUUUGUUGGUUUCUAGAGACGCCGCAAUGAUUAACAGGAACAGUCGGGGGCAUCAGUAUUCAGUUGUCAGAGGUGAAAUUCUUGGAUUUACUGAAGACUAACUACUGCGAAAGCAUUUGCCAAGGAUGUUUUCAUUAAUCAGUGAACGAAAGUUAGGGGAUCGAAGACGAUCAGAUACCGUCGUAGUCUUAACCGUAAACUAUGCCGACUAGGGAUCGGGCGAUGUUCUUUUUCUGACUCGCUCGGCACCUUACGAGAAAUCAAAGUUUUUGGGUUCUGGGGGGAUUAUGGUCGCAAGGCUGAAACUUAAAGAAAUUGACGGAAGGUCACCACCAGGCGUGGAGCCUGCGGCCUAAUUUGACUCAACACGGGGAAACUCACCAGGUCCAGAUGAAAUAAGGGAUUGACAGAUUGAGAGCUCUUUCUUGAUUUUUCAGGUGGUGGUGCAUGGCCGUUCUUAGUUCGUGGGGUGACUUGUCUGCUUAAUUGCGAUACGAGCGAGACCUUA
Molecule: ribosomal RNA, 783 nt
Filed under: uncultured fungus
Lineage: Eukaryota; Fungi
Description: SSU rRNA
Rfam family: Eukaryotic small subunit ribosomal RNA
Source: RNAcentral